Molecule: ribosomal RNA, 254 nt
Filed under: uncultured bacterium
Lineage: Bacteria
Description: partial 16S ribosomal RNA
Rfam family: Bacterial small subunit ribosomal RNA
Source: RNAcentral
UACGUAGGUGGCAAGCGUUAUCCGGAAUUACUGGGCGUAAAGCGCACGCAGGCGGUCUUUUAAGUUUGACGUGAAAGCUCCCGGCUUAACUGGGAGAGGUCGUUGAAUACUGGAAGACUUGAGGAAAUGAGAGGGGUGUAGAAUUCCUGGUGGUAGUGGUGGAAUGCGUAGAUAUCAGGAGGAAUACCAGUGGCGAAAGCGGCACCCUAGCAUUUUUCUGACGCUCAUGUGCGAAAGCGAGGGGAGCGAACGGG